UAGUAGUUGGUAGGGUAAGGGCUACCAAGGCGACGUCGGUAGCUGGUCUGAGAGGAUGACCAGCCACACUGGAAUGAGACACGGUCCAGAUCCUNACGGGAGGCAGCAGUGGGGAAUAUUGGACAAUGGGGGCAACCCUGAUCCAGCAAUGCCGCGUGUGUGAAGAAGGCCUGAGGGUUGUAAAGCACUUUCAGUGGGGAGGAGGAUUCAUGGGUUAAGAGCUAAUGAAUUGGACGUUACCCACAGAAGAAGCCACCGGCUAACUCCGUGCCAGCAGCCGCGGUAAUACGGAGGGUGCAAGCGUUAAUCGGAAUGACUGGGCGUAAAGGGUGCGUAGGUGGUUAAAUAAGUUAUAGGUGAAAUCAUAGGGCUCAACCUUGUGCUGAAUUAUAAUACUGUUCAGCUAGAGUAUAGGAGAGGGUAGUGGAAUUUCCGGUGUAACGGUGAAAUGCGUAGAGAUCGGAAGGAACACCAGUCGCGAAGGCGGCUACCUGGUCAUAUACUGACACUGAGGCACGAAAGCGUGGGUAGCAAACAGGAUUAGAUACCCUGGUAGUCCACGCUGUAAACGAUGUCAACUAGCUGUUUUCCACAUAGAGGUGGGGGGUGGCGC
Molecule: ribosomal RNA, 613 nt
Filed under: uncultured Legionella sp.
Lineage: Bacteria; Pseudomonadati; Pseudomonadota; Gammaproteobacteria; Legionellales; Legionellaceae
Description: bacterial SSU rRNA
Rfam family: Bacterial small subunit ribosomal RNA
Source: RNAcentral